RNAcentral lists this ribosomal RNA (263 nucleotides) under Salmonella enterica. RNAcentral's name for it is "partial 16S ribosomal RNA". It matches the Rfam family "Bacterial small subunit ribosomal RNA", at positions 1 to 260 of the family's 1533-position model. The record is from RNAcentral. Lineage: Bacteria; Pseudomonadati; Pseudomonadota; Gammaproteobacteria; Enterobacterales; Enterobacteriaceae.
AAAUUGAAGAGUUUGAUCAUGGCUCAGAUUGAACGCUGGCGGCAGGCCUAACACAUGCAAGUCGAACGGUAACAGGAAGCAGCUUGCUGCUUCUCUGACGAGUGGCGGACGGGUGAGUAAUGUCUGGGAAACUGCCUGAUGGAGGGGGAUAACUACUGGAAACGGUGGCUAAUACCGCAUAACGUCGCAAGACCAAAGAGGGGGACCUUCGGGCCUCUUGCCAUCAGAUGUGCCCAGAUGGGAUUAGCUUGUUGGUGAGGUAA